Molecule: ribosomal RNA, 253 nt
Filed under: uncultured bacterium
Lineage: Bacteria
Description: partial 16S ribosomal RNA
Rfam family: Bacterial small subunit ribosomal RNA
Source: RNAcentral
UACGGAGGGUGCAAGCGUUAAUCGGAAUUACUGGGCGUAAAGCGCACGCAGGCGGUUGGUUAAGUUGGAUGUGAAAGCCCCGGGCUCAACCUGGGAAUUGCAGUUAAAACGGGCCGGCUAGAGUCUUGUAGGGGGGGGUAGAAUUCCAGGUGUAGCGGUGAAAUGCGUAGAGAUCAGGAGGAAUACCGGUGGCGAAGGCGGCCCCCUGGACAAAGACUGACGCUCAGGUGCGAAAGCGUGGGGAGCAAACAGG